RNAcentral lists this transfer RNA (70 nucleotides) under Ictidomys tridecemlineatus (thirteen-lined ground squirrel). RNAcentral's name for it is "Spermophilus tridecemlineatus (thirteen-lined ground squirrel) tRNA". It matches the Rfam family "tRNA". From Rfam's summary of the family: Transfer RNA (tRNA) molecules are approximately 80 nucleotides in length. Their secondary structure includes four short double-helical elements and three loops (D, anti-codon, and T loops). Further hydrogen bonds mediate the characteristic L-shaped molecular structure. tRNAs have two regions of fundamental functional importance: the anti-codon, which is responsible for specific mRNA codon recognition, and the 3' end, to which the tRNAs corresponding amino acid is attached (by aminoacyl-tRNA synthetases). tRNAs cope with the degeneracy of the genetic code in two manners: having more than one tRNA (with a specific anti-codon) for a particular amino acid; and 'wobble' base-pairing, i.e. permitting non-standard base-pairing at the 3rd anti-codon position. Lineage: Eukaryota; Metazoa; Chordata; Mammalia; Rodentia; Sciuridae. The record is from Rfam by way of RNAcentral.
GGGGAUAUAGCUCAGUUGGUAGAGUGCUUGCCUUGCAUGCAUGAGGCCUUGGGUUCAAUCCUCAGCACCA